Dermacentor silvarum is the source of this 759-nucleotide long non-coding RNA. RefSeq lists it as uncharacterized. The transcript has 3 exons. Lineage: Eukaryota; Metazoa; Arthropoda; Arachnida; Ixodida; Ixodidae. The record is from RefSeq and is a predicted model, not a curated record.
UCAGGCGCUAUGAAUGCAUCCUGCUUCGCUAUUUUGUUAGUGUUUGCUUUCUUCGCCUGUCUUGUUUCCACAAAAGCUUCACCAAUUCCUGGCCCGUUUCCACGUUCCCGCCUUCCAACAGGACAAUCUCAGGGAGCGCAUCAACCACGGCAUCAGCGUAACAGAAGAAAUGCUAUUCCUGGACCCGACUCGGAGCCACAUCGACAACUGCGAGCAUUUCAAAACGGCCAUGGACAACGAGAAUCCGAAAACAGGAAUGCAACUCAGCAACAGAACAGCAAUAAUCGGCAUCGCAAUACAUGAUGGAGGAGUGAAAUAUAGAAAAUAAGUCACCUCGCCAAAAAGAAUCUGCACUGUGAUUUGGAGACUUCUGGAUGGUAUUUACCGUGUAGCGCGGGAUCCCGGCCGACGGAUAGAGGCGCUGUGGAGGAAGACCAUCUUCUGCGGCGUUAAUUGACUGGUGGAAAUAUAGAAAAACGCCUACAAGAAAACAAGAAAUGGUCUAUUGUCUCCGCUUCGCCACAGAAUGAGCAUAAUGGUGAGCGGACCAGAUCAGACCUGUGUAAGUAAAGUUUAACGUAGGGAUAUGGACACGUUGCUAUUGGGAUAGAGAUGACGCUGGCGCUGCGGUCACCUUAUCAAGAUCAUCACGCUUAUGAUUUUUCUUUUUUUCUUUUCUUGUCUUUAGAAAGUGAUCGUUAUUACUGUUCAAUAAAAUUCGAAAAAUAAAUGCGCAGGGACGAUGCAAUACGCCUAUGU